Molecule: non-coding RNA, 97 nt
Organism: Fistulina hepatica ATCC 64428
Lineage: Eukaryota; Fungi; Basidiomycota; Agaricomycetes; Agaricales; Fistulinaceae
Source: the annotation of a GenBank genome assembly
GCAUUAAUGGGGUAGCGGUAACCUGGGUCGUUGCCAUCAAUUCCAUGUCAACCAUGUUAUCUUCGACCCGCCGGGGGUUCGACUCCCCCUUAAUGCA